Molecule: long non-coding RNA, 787 nt
Organism: Oryza sativa Japonica Group (Japanese rice)
Lineage: Eukaryota; Viridiplantae; Streptophyta; Magnoliopsida; Poales; Poaceae
Source: RefSeq, a predicted model, not a curated record
CUCACGUCAAUGCCAAUCACAAGCAAAGGUACAUGAAUUACUGUUCUAACUGCGGAUUGAUGCUCGAGGGACUGCUGGCAAUCCUAGCUCAUCCACCUGCACCAGAUAGCACCAGGCAACAUUCAGUACAAGCUUAAAACAGGAGCGGUAGGUGCAGCUGGCAAAUUAAGCUCUGCAUCGAAAUCGGAUUCCUUGUCUGGUUGAAGAUACGAUGGGACUGCACUUGACUCAAACUCCAUAUCAGCCUCCAAAGCAUCCAGUUCUGCAAUGUUCAAGAAACAACGACAGUAGAUAGAUUAUUAUCUCCAGCCCUGCAAUGGUCCCAGGAAGAAUGAAGGCAUGGCAACAAGCUAGGCAAUUUAUGGCAUGAAUCUAUGUUAUUACUUCCAGAUGCCUAUGAAUGACAAUAAUGCCAAGUAAAUUGCCAACCAUCAUUUUCCAAUUGGCCAACUGAUGGUACAGCGUCCAUACCUCCCAUUAGUUCUUCCUCAUCAACAUCGUCAGGGAUGUUGUAGCUUCUACCAAGGGAUUCUUGUAUUUCGUUGCUCACAUCCAUCAGGUCAGUCAUUUCAUCUUGCAUAUUCUACAGGUGGAUCAGGGCAUUCGUUUUACGCGAAAAAAGAUGAUAAUACUCAAGAUAGUCCAACAAGCAAUUUCAAGGGCGGUUGAUAACCGCACUUAAAAAAGAUUGACAAUUGUGGUUUUUGUAUGGUUUUCUUGUAAAUCAAUGGAUAUACUGGUGUAAAAUGUGUUGAUGAUCUAAACAAUAGGCAAAUCCUGCAGAUUA